AUUGAACGCUGGCGGCAUGCUUUACACAUGCAAGUCGAACGGUAACAGGUUAAGCUGACGAGUGGCGAACGGGUGGGUAAUGCAUCGGAACGUGCCCGAUCGUGGGGGAUAACGCAGCGAAAGCUGCGCUAAUACCGCAUACGAUCUGAGGAUGAAAGCGGGGGACCGUAAGGCCUCGCGCGAUCGGAGCGGCCGAUGUCUGAUUAGCUAGUAGGUGAGGUAAGAGCUCACCUAGGCGACGAUCAGUAGCGGGGCUGAGAGGAUGAUCCGCCACACUGGGACUGAGACACGGCCCAGACUCCUACGGGAGGCAGCAGUGGGGAAUUUUGGACAAUGGGCGCAAGCCUGAUUCAGCCAUGCCGCGUGUCUGAAGAAGGCCUUCGGGUUGUAAAGGACUUUUGUCAGGGAGGAAAUCCUUAGCGCUAAUACCGUUGAGGGAUGACAGUACCUGAAGAAUAAGCACCGGCUAACUACGUGCCAGCAGCCGCAGUAA
RNAcentral lists this ribosomal RNA (493 nucleotides) under uncultured bacterium. Its description in RNAcentral is "partial 16S ribosomal RNA". It matches the Rfam family "Bacterial small subunit ribosomal RNA", at positions 30 to 523 of the family's 1533-position model. The record is from RNAcentral.